UGGGGAAUAUUGGACAAUGGGGGCAACCCUGAUCCAGCCAUGCCGCGUGUGUGAAGAAGGCCUUAGGGUUGUAAAGCACUUUCACGGGUGAGGAUAAUGACGUUAACCCGAGAAGAAGCCCCGGCUAACUCCGUGCCAGCAGCCGCGGUAAUACGGAGGGGGCGAGCGUUGUUCGGAAUUACUGGGCGUAAAGCGCGCGUAGGCGGACUGUUUAGUCAGAGGUGAAAUCCCGGGGCUUAACCCCGGAACUGCCUUUGAUACUGGCAGUCUUGAGUUCGGGAGAGGUAAGUGGAAUUCCUAGUGUAGAGGUGAAAUUCGUAGAUAUUAGGAAGAACACCAGUGGCGAAGGCGGCUUACUGGACCGAUACUGACGCUGAGGUGCGAAAGCGUGGGGAGCGAACAGGAUUAGAUACCCCUGUAGUCC
RNAcentral lists this ribosomal RNA (424 nucleotides) under uncultured prokaryote. RNAcentral describes it as "bacterial SSU rRNA". It matches the Rfam family "Bacterial small subunit ribosomal RNA", at positions 355 to 796 of the family's 1533-position model. The record is from RNAcentral.